UUUUCAAAACUGUUUUUCUUUUUUUUAAUAAUGGUUUUCAAUAAACUAGACUGUUGUGAUAAUUUGCUAUGUACUUGAUACAUUUUUGUUCAAUAUUCAGGAACACACAGAAAAGGGGAGAAUCAUUUGGAAUCAGCAGAAUAGGUAGCAAAAUUAAAGGAGUAUUCAAAAGUACCACAAUGGAGGGAGCUAUGUUGCCUAAUUAUGGUGUAGCUGAAGGUGAAGAUGAUUUUAUUGAAGAAGGUAUUGUUGUAAUGGAAGAUGAUUCUCCAGUGGAGGCUGUGAGCACACCUAAUACUCCCCGAAACCUUGCUGCAUGGAAAAUUAGCAUUCCAUAUGUAGACUUUUUUGAGGAUCCC
RNAcentral lists this small RNA (359 nucleotides) under Pongo abelii (Sumatran orangutan). RNAcentral describes it as "retained intron". Lineage: Eukaryota; Metazoa; Chordata; Mammalia; Primates; Hominidae. The record is from RNAcentral.